AUUGAACGCUGGCGGCAUGCCUUACACAUGCAAGUCGAACGGCAGCACGGGUGCUUGCACCUGGUGGCGAGUGGCGAACGGGUGAGUAAUACAUCGGAACAUGUCCUGUAGUGGGGGAUGGCCCGGCGAAAGCCGGAUUAAUACCGCAUACGAUCUACGGAUGAAAGCGGGGGACCUUCGGGCCUCGCGCUAUCGGGUUGGCCGAUGGCUGAUUAGCUAGUUGGUGGGGUAAAGGCCUACCAAGGCGACGAUCAGUAGCUGGUCUGAGAGGACGACCAGCCACACUGGGACUGAGACACGGCCCAGACUCCUACGGGAGGCAGCAGUGGGGAAUUUUGGACAAUGGGCGAAAGCCUGAUCCAGCAAUGCCGCGUGUGUGAAGAAGGCCUUCGGGUUGUAAAGCACUUUUGUCCGGAAAGAAAUCCUUGGCCCUAAUACGGUCGGGGGAUGACGGUACCGGAAGAAUAAGCACCGGCUAACUACGUG
Molecule: ribosomal RNA, 486 nt
Filed under: uncultured bacterium
Lineage: Bacteria
Description: partial 16S ribosomal RNA
Rfam family: Bacterial small subunit ribosomal RNA
Source: RNAcentral